GAGUUUGAUCCUGGCUCAGGAUGAACGCUAGCGGCAGGCUUAACACAUGCAAGUCGAGGGGUAACAGGGAUUGCUUGCAAUCCGCUGACGACCGGCGCACGGGUGCGUAACGCGUAUGCAACCUACCUUCUACAGGGGGAUAGUCAAUAGAAAUGUUGAAUAAUACCCCAUACGAUCUUUGAAUAGCAUUAUUUAAAGAAGAAAGCUCCGGCGGUAGAAGAUGGGCAUGCGUCCUAUUAGUUAGUUGGUAAGGUAACGGCUUACCAAGACUUCGAUAGGUAGGGGUCCUGAGAGGGAGACCCCCCACACUGGUACUGAGACACGGACCAGACUCCUACGGGAGGCAGCAGUGAGGAAUAUUGGACAAUGGAGGCAACUCUGAUCCAGCCAUGCCGCGUGCAGGAAGACUGCCCUAUGGGUUGUAAACUGCUUUUAUACAGGAAGAAAUAUACCUACGUGUAGGUAUUUGACGGUACUGUACGAAUAAGGAUCGGCUAACUCCGUGCCAGCAGCCGCGGUAAUACGGAGGAUCCAAGCGUUAUCCGGAAUCAUUGGGUUUAAAGGGUCCGUAGGCGGUCUUUUAAGUCAGAGGUGAAAUCCUACAGCUCAACUGUAGAAUUGCCUUUGAUACUGAAAGACUUGAGUUAUUGUGAAGUAGUUAGAAUGUGUGGUGUAGCGGUGAAAUGCAUAGAGAUCACACAGAAUACCGAUUGCGAAGGCAGAUUACUAACAAUAUACUGACGCUGAAGGACGAAAGCGUGGGUAGCGAAAA
RNAcentral lists this ribosomal RNA (772 nucleotides) under uncultured bacterium. Its description in RNAcentral is "bacterial SSU rRNA". It matches the Rfam family "Bacterial small subunit ribosomal RNA", at positions 9 to 774 of the family's 1533-position model. The record is from RNAcentral.